This 489-nucleotide ribosomal RNA is filed under the name uncultured bacterium. Its description in RNAcentral is "partial 16S ribosomal RNA". It matches the Rfam family "Bacterial small subunit ribosomal RNA", at positions 30 to 506 of the family's 1533-position model. The record is from RNAcentral.
AUUGAACGCUGGCGGCAGGCCUAACACAUGCAAGUCGAACGGUAACAGGAAGAAGCUUGCUUCUUUGCUGACGAGUGGCGGACGGGUGAGUAAUGUCUGGGAAACUGCCUGAUGGAGGGGGAUAACUACUGGAAACGGUAGCUAAUACCGCAUAACGUCGCAAGACCAAAGAGGGGGACCUUCGGGCCUCUUGCCAUCGGAUGUGCCCAGAUGGGAUUAGCUAGUAGGUGGGGUAACGGCUCACCUAGGCGACGAUCCCUAGCUGGUCUGAGAGGAUGACCGGCACCCCGGGACCUGGGACCCGUUCCGGCCUCCUACGGAGGGCGCCGGUGGGAAGUUUGGCCCAAUGGGCGAAAGCCUGUUGCGGCCAUGCGGCGUGUAUGAGGAGGGCCUUCGGGUUGUAAAGUCCUUUCGGCGGGAAGAAGGGGGGUAAGGUUAAAACCUUUGCUCAUGGACUUUCCCCGCAGAAGAGGCCCCGGCUACCUCCGU